UGAACUUGGUUGAUGGCACC
This 20-nucleotide non-coding RNA is filed under the name Arabidopsis thaliana (thale cress). The record is from RNAcentral. Lineage: Eukaryota; Viridiplantae; Streptophyta; Magnoliopsida; Brassicales; Brassicaceae.